RNAcentral lists this ribosomal RNA (119 nucleotides) under Etheostoma blennius blennius. Its description in RNAcentral is "partial 12S ribosomal RNA". Lineage: Eukaryota; Metazoa; Chordata; Actinopteri; Perciformes; Percidae. The record is from RNAcentral.
CAAAGGCUUGGUCCUGACUUUACUAUCGACUCUGGCUAAACUUACACAUGCAAGUAUCCGCAUCCCGUGAGAAUGCCCUACAGUUCCCUGUCCGGGAACAAGGAGCUGGUAUCAGGCAC